This 208-nucleotide long non-coding RNA is filed under the name Oryctolagus cuniculus (rabbit). RNAcentral's name for it is "lncRNA (ENSOCUG00000034105.1)". The record is from RNAcentral. Lineage: Eukaryota; Metazoa; Chordata; Mammalia; Lagomorpha; Leporidae.
CAGAAUGAAUAGAUACUUCAGGGUGUAAACACUAAGGAACUAUGUAACUCAAGGAAAUAAAUGUAUGAACUAAAUAAUUUCCUGAGUAACAUAAAGCUAACUUCAACACCAUCCACAAUCGAUGUGCAGGACAAUUUACCUCAUUUUUACUCCCUCAAUUUAAAGAAGGAUAUAGAAAAUACAAGUGAGUUUUUAGGUAUUUAAUUAU